AUCAUUUAAGACUGAGGAUGAUGAAAAAUAUUUUUAAAGAAACGAAUCCAGUGAAACAAAAUGACAAGGAUUAAGGAUUAAGGAUUAAGGAUUCGUACUUUGUUUUAUCCAUGUCCAAAAAUUCCUCAAAAAUAAUCAUAGUGGUGUAAAAUUCAAGAAUGAUCAAAACAUGGAUACAAUCAAAGCUAGUAUCCACAAUAGAUAUUUU
Molecule: long non-coding RNA, 208 nt
Filed under: Panax ginseng (ginseng)
Lineage: Eukaryota; Viridiplantae; Streptophyta; Magnoliopsida; Apiales; Araliaceae
Description: long non-coding RNA (PGIN_LNC019261)
Source: RNAcentral